This 433-nucleotide ribosomal RNA is filed under the name uncultured bacterium. RNAcentral's name for it is "partial 16S ribosomal RNA". It matches the Rfam family "Bacterial small subunit ribosomal RNA", at positions 29 to 507 of the family's 1533-position model. The record is from RNAcentral.
AACGAACGCUGGCGGCAUGCCUAACACAUGCAAGUCGAACGAGACCUUCGGGUCUAGUGGCGCACGGGUGCGUAACGCGUGGGAACCUGCCCUUAGGUUCGGAAUAACUCCCCGAAAGGGGUGCUAAUACAGGAUAAUGUCUUCGGACCAAAGAUUUAUCGCCGUUGGAUGGGCCCGCGUUGGAUUCGCUAGUUGGUAGGGUAAAAGCCUGCCAAGGCGACGAUCCAUAGCUGGUCUGAGAGGAUGAUCAGCCACACUGGGACUGAGACACGGCCCAGACUCCUACGGGAGGGAGCAGUGGGGAAUAUUGGACAAGGGGCGAAAGCCUGAUCCAGCAAUGCCGCGUGAGUGAUGAAGGCCUUAGGGUUGUAAAGCUCUUUUACCCGGGAUGAUAAUGACAGUACCGGGAGAAUAAGCACCGGCUAACUCCGUG